Molecule: transfer RNA, 72 nt
Filed under: Bordetella genomosp. 4
Lineage: Bacteria; Pseudomonadati; Pseudomonadota; Betaproteobacteria; Burkholderiales; Alcaligenaceae
Also listed under: 2 other names
Description: Bordetella sp. AU9919 tRNA
Rfam family: tRNA
About the family: Transfer RNA (tRNA) molecules are approximately 80 nucleotides in length. Their secondary structure includes four short double-helical elements and three loops (D, anti-codon, and T loops).
Source: Rfam by way of RNAcentral
GGGUGGUUAGCUCAGUGGUAGAGCACUGCCUUCACACGGCAGGGGUCACAAGUUCGAACCUUGUACCACCCA